Molecule: transfer RNA, 75 nt
Filed under: Bacillota bacterium
Lineage: Bacteria; Bacillati; Bacillota
Description: Firmicutes bacterium (anaerobic digester metagenome) tRNA-Thr
Rfam family: tRNA
About the family: Transfer RNA (tRNA) molecules are approximately 80 nucleotides in length. Their secondary structure includes four short double-helical elements and three loops (D, anti-codon, and T loops).
Source: RNAcentral
GCCGAUGUGGCUCAGUGGUAGAGCAGCUCACUCGUAAUGAGCAGGUCGUGGGUUCGACUCCCACCAUCGGCUCCA